This 303-nucleotide long non-coding RNA is filed under the name Elaeis guineensis (African oil palm). RNAcentral's name for it is "long non-coding RNA (EGUI_LNC020049)". Lineage: Eukaryota; Viridiplantae; Streptophyta; Magnoliopsida; Arecales; Arecaceae. The record is from RNAcentral.
GAGGAUAUAUGACGAAAGGGUGCAGACCUUGACAGAUGUGCAUCAUGUCCCAGAUCUCAGGAGAAGCAUAGUGUCAAGACUCGAGCUAGGGAUCAUGACCGGUGCAUAGGAUGGACUAGCCAACCUAGCAAGCCUAACAAAAAUAUCAAAUGGGAUAAAUCAAAUAUACAAAUUUUAUCGAAACUUGACAAAGUUUUUUCCAAAAGUUGGACAUUCCCAAAGGUAUGAUUUCCUACUUAAUCUAGUAUAUUCAUACAUACAUAUAUAUACAGUUAUUCUAAUUAAGCAAACAAAAUGGAAGCU